RNAcentral lists this transfer RNA (75 nucleotides) under Oxalobacter sp. OttesenSCG-928-P03. RNAcentral describes it as "tRNA-Glu". It matches the Rfam family "tRNA". From Rfam's summary of the family: Transfer RNA (tRNA) molecules are approximately 80 nucleotides in length. Their secondary structure includes four short double-helical elements and three loops (D, anti-codon, and T loops). Lineage: Bacteria; Pseudomonadati; Pseudomonadota; Betaproteobacteria; Burkholderiales; Oxalobacteraceae. The record is from RNAcentral.
GUCCCCAUCGUCUAGGGGUUAGGACACCACCCUUUCACGGUGGGAACGGGGGUUCGAAUCCCCCUGGGGAUGCCA